GGGAAGUCUCAGUCUGCCAAAUCAAUCGGUUCCAGUUCAACAUGCACAACCACCUCUUUGCUCGCUUUCGGAAACAGCCUCAGGGAUGCCUUGGAAGUAUAUGUCUUGUUCAUGCUCAUUGGCUAAAGGAGGUCUCCCCAAACACCAGNNNNNNNNNNNNUAAUCCUCUUUUGCUGAUGUCUCAAAGUAAGGAAUGUUUCCUUUAGAAGCACACCACUCCUUUGCUUUCUUCUCAGAAACCACUCGACUGUUUCCCCCAUCAAUGUCAAUCUUGUUUCCAAGCAAUAUAAAUGGAAACGUCUUGGGAUCAGGUGGGUUUGCCUGUUUAAGAAA
Molecule: unclassified non-coding RNA, 333 nt
Filed under: Hevea brasiliensis (rubber tree)
Lineage: Eukaryota; Viridiplantae; Streptophyta; Magnoliopsida; Malpighiales; Euphorbiaceae
Source: RNAcentral